CGUCGGUUUCACACUAGAGGGCAAAAAAAAGCUCUUCUUUUCUCGGUUUCGUCUCUCUCUCUUCGAUAUUGUCGAAGUCUUUCUCCUCCCUUGGUCUCUCUCGACGAAUUCGUUGAUUCUCUGUAAAUCUCCCACGGAGAUGAAGAUUGAUCGGUUUCUUCGUCGUCGGCUGAUCUAUCUGUUGGUCGUCGGUGCUGUGGAAUGGUCUAUCUCUUCGUCGUCGGUUCCGUGGAGAUCUCCAACGGAGAUGAUGUUUGGAGAUGAUCUUGAUUCGUCGAAGUUCUCCUCCAGUUCCGUGCAUGCAAUCAGUGUGAAGAUUCCUAUUUGAUCGAUUUGGUUGGAUUUGGCUCCAGCUUAACAUUUGCUUACAUCGAAAGAGAGGUGGAGCAUGCGUGGAGAAGUCAAGAACAUACAUGCUUCUCUGUCUGUUACAUAGCCAAGCCGUCUCUGAAAUUAGAUGUGGCCAACAUGUGAGCAUAGAGUUACUAUGUAACACAAGAAGACAAUAUGUCUGAUGUAAUUAGUUGGUGUAUUUUGUAUCUUGUGAACUAUUGGCUGAUGUAAUUACUUGGUGUAUUUUGUAUCUUGUGAACUAUCUAGUUUAAAAAAAAAAAAAUUAUUUAAGAACCCCUAUAAGGUUCUCCCA
Long non-coding RNA from Brassica napus (rape), 646 nucleotides. RefSeq lists it as uncharacterized. Lineage: Eukaryota; Viridiplantae; Streptophyta; Magnoliopsida; Brassicales; Brassicaceae. The record is from RefSeq and is a predicted model, not a curated record. The transcript has 4 exons.